UACGCUCUGACUGAACAUCUAAGUAGGAGCAGGAAGAGAAAACAAUAGUGAUUCCCUGAGUAGUGGCGAGCGAAAGGGGAGAAGCCCAAACCGGGCCCUACGGGGUUCGGGGUUGUAGGACCUGCGCGAGUUGUGUUAUUGGAAGUCGAAUGGGUCUGGAAAGCCCAGCCACAGACGGUGAUAGUCCGGUAGGCGUAACGAUGACAUGAUGGCGGGUAUCCUGAGUAGCGCGAGGCCGGUGAAACCUUGCGUGAAUUUGCCGGCACCAUCCGGUAAGGCUAAAUACAUCUGCAUGACCGAUAGUGAACCAGUACCGUGAGGGAAAGGUGAAAAGAACGCCGAGACGGCGAGUGAAAUAGUACCUGAAACCGUGUGCUUACAAGCGGUCGGAGGCCCUUCGGGGCUGACGGCGUGCCUUUUGUAUAAUGAGCCUACGAGUUACUCCUGUUGUGCGAGGUUAAGCCCUUUCGGGGUGGAGCCGUAGCGAAAGCGAGUCUGAAUAGGGCGUGCAGUACGACGGGGUAGACGCGAAACCAAGUGAUCUAUCCAUGGCCAGGGUGAAGUGGCGGUAAAACGCCAUGGAGGCCCGAACCGGUUGACGUUGAAAAGUCUUCGGAUGAGCUGUGGAUAGGGGUGAAAGGCCAAUCAAACUUGGAGAUAGCUCGUACUCCCCGAAAUAUAUUUAGGUAUAGCGUCUGGUUUUGUCUGCCCGGAGGUAGAGCACUGAUUAGGCUAGGGGGCUUCACCGCCUACCAACCCUAGACAAACUCCGAAUACCGGGCCAGAGCCGCCAGGCAGUCAGUCCUAGGGUGAUAACGUCCUA
Molecule: ribosomal RNA, 823 nt
Filed under: uncultured bacterium
Lineage: Bacteria
Description: bacterial LSU rRNA
Rfam family: Bacterial large subunit ribosomal RNA
Source: RNAcentral